RNAcentral lists this ribosomal RNA (175 nucleotides) under uncultured bacterium. Its description in RNAcentral is "partial 16S ribosomal RNA". It matches the Rfam family "Bacterial small subunit ribosomal RNA", at positions 1328 to 1500 of the family's 1533-position model. The record is from RNAcentral.
GGAAUCGCUAGUAAUCGCGGAUCAGCACGCCGCGGUGAAUACGUUCCCGGGCCUUGUACACACCGCCCGUCACACCAUGAGAGUCUGUAACACCCAAAGCCGGUGGGAUAACCUUUAUAGGAGUCAGCCGUCUAAGGUAGGACAGAUGAUUAGGGUGAAGUCGUAACAAGGUACC